UACGUAGGGUGCGAGCGUUAAUCGGAAUUACUGGGCGUAAAGCGUGCGCAGGCGGUUUGUCACGUCUGCUGUGAAAACUGGAGGCUCAACCUCCAGCCUGCAGUGGGUACGGGCAGACUAGAGUGCGGUAGGGGAGAGUGGAAUUCCUGGUGUAGCGGUGAAAUGCGCAGAUAUCAGGAAGAACACCCGUGGCGAAAGCGGCUCUCUGGAACGGUACUGACGCUGAGACGCGAAAGCGUGGGGAGCGAACAGG
This 253-nucleotide ribosomal RNA is filed under the name uncultured bacterium. RNAcentral describes it as "partial 16S ribosomal RNA". It matches the Rfam family "Bacterial small subunit ribosomal RNA", at positions 524 to 776 of the family's 1533-position model. The record is from RNAcentral.